Rhododendron vialii is the source of this 103-nucleotide small nuclear RNA. Lineage: Eukaryota; Viridiplantae; Streptophyta; Magnoliopsida; Ericales; Ericaceae. The record is from RefSeq and is a predicted model, not a curated record.
GUCCCUUUGGUGGCAUCCGAUAAAAUUGGAACGAUACAGAGAAGAUUAACAUGAUUAUUGCGCAAGGAUGACAUGCACAAAUCGAGAAAUGGUCUAAAUUGUU